AUUGAACGCUAGCGGGAUGCUUUACACAUGCAAGUCGAACGAGUGGCGGACGGGUGAGUAAUAUAUCGGAACGUGCCCAGUAGCGGGGGAUAACUACUCGAACGAGUGGCUAAUACCGCAUACUAUAGGAGCGGCCGUUAUCGGAAUAGCGAGUUGGGGGGGUAAAGGCCGACCAAGGCAACGAUCCGUAGCUGGUUUGAGAGGACGACCAGCCACACUGGGACUGAGACACGGCCCAGACUCCUACGGGAGGCAGCAGUGGGGAAUGUUGGACAAUGGGGGAAACCCUGUUCCAGCCAUCCCGCGUGUAUGAGAAGGCCUUCGGGUUGUAAAGUACUUUUGGCAGAGAAGCGGUAUCUGCAGAAUAAGCACCGGCUAACUACGUGCCAGCAGCCGCGGUAAUAC
Molecule: ribosomal RNA, 405 nt
Filed under: uncultured bacterium
Lineage: Bacteria
Description: partial 16S ribosomal RNA
Rfam family: Bacterial small subunit ribosomal RNA
Source: RNAcentral